AGUGAACGCUGGCGGUAGGCCUAACACAUGCCAGUCGAACGGCAGCACAGUAAGAGCUUGCUCUUACGGGUGGCGAGUGGCGGACGGGUGAGGAAUACAUCGGAAUCUACUUUUUCGUGGGGGAUAACGUAGGGAAACUUACGCUAAUACCGCAUACGACCUACGGGUGAAAGCAGGGGAUCUUCGGACCUUGCGCGAUUGAAUGAGCCGAUGUCGGAUUAGCUAGUUGGCGGGGUAAAGGCCCACCAAGGCGACGAUCCGUAGCUGGUCUGAGAGGAUGAUUAGCCACACUGGAACUGAGACACGGUCCAGACUCCUACGGGAGGCAGCAGUGGGGAAUAUUGGACAAUGGGCGCAAGCCUGAUCCAGCCAUACCGCGUGGGUGAAGAAGGCCUUCGGGUUGUAAAGCCCUUUUGUUGGGAAAGAAAAGCAGCAGGUUAAUACCCCGCUGUUCUGACGGUACCCAAAGAAUAAGCAUCGGCUAACUUCGUG
Molecule: ribosomal RNA, 492 nt
Filed under: uncultured bacterium
Lineage: Bacteria
Description: partial 16S ribosomal RNA
Rfam family: Bacterial small subunit ribosomal RNA
Source: RNAcentral